AACGCGAAGAACCUUACCUACCCUUGACAUGGUCGGAAUCCUGCUGAGAGGCGGGAGUGCUCGAAAGAGAACCGGCGCACAGGUGCUGCAUGGCUGUCGUCAGCUCGUGUCGUGAGAUGUUGGGUUAAGUCCCGCAACGAGCGCAACCCUUGUCCUUAGUUGCUACGCAAGAGCACUCUAAGGAGACUGCCGGUGACAAACCGGAGGAAGGUGGGGAUGACGUCAAGUCCUCAUGGCCCUUAUGGGUAGGGCUUCACACGUCAUACAAUGGUCGGAACAGAGGGUUGCCAAGCCGCGAGGUGGAGCCAAUCCCAGAAAACCGAUCGUAGUCCGGAUCGCAGUCUGCAACUCGACUGCGUGAAGCUGGAAUCGCUAGUAAUCGCGGAUCAGCAUGCCGCGGUGAAUACGUUCCC
RNAcentral lists this ribosomal RNA (413 nucleotides) under uncultured bacterium. RNAcentral's name for it is "bacterial SSU rRNA". It matches the Rfam family "Bacterial small subunit ribosomal RNA", at positions 958 to 1375 of the family's 1533-position model. The record is from RNAcentral.